UGGGGAAUCUUGGACAAUGGGGGCAACCCUGAUCCAGCCAUGCCGCGUGAGUGAUGAAGGCCUUAGGGUCGUAAAGCUCUUUCGCCUGUGAAGAUAAUGACGGUAGCAGGUAAAGAAACCCCGGCUAACUCCGUGCCAGCAGCCGCGGUAAUACGGAGGGGGCUAGCGUUGUUCGGAAUUACUGGGCGUAAAGGGCGUGUAGGCGGCCAAUUAAGUCAGAGGUGAAAUCCCCGAGCUCAACUUGGGAACUGCCUUUGAUACUGGUUGGCUAGAGUUCGGGAGAGGGUAGUGGAAUUCCCAGUGUAGAGGUGAAAUUCGUAGAUAUUGGGAAGAACACCAGUGGCGAAGGCGGCUACCUGGACCGAUACUGACGCUGAGGCGCGAAAGCGUGGGGAGCAAACAGGAUUAGAUACCCUGGUAGUCCACGCCGUAAACGAUGUCUGCUAGACGUCGGGGGGCGCAGCCCUUCGGUGUCGCAGCUAACGCAUUAAGCAGACCGCCUGGGGAGUACGGUC
RNAcentral lists this ribosomal RNA (515 nucleotides) under uncultured bacterium. RNAcentral describes it as "bacterial SSU rRNA". It matches the Rfam family "Bacterial small subunit ribosomal RNA", at positions 355 to 887 of the family's 1533-position model. The record is from RNAcentral.